This 301-nucleotide ribosomal RNA is filed under the name uncultured bacterium. RNAcentral's name for it is "partial 16S ribosomal RNA". It matches the Rfam family "Bacterial small subunit ribosomal RNA", at positions 509 to 807 of the family's 1533-position model. The record is from RNAcentral.
CAGCCGCCACGGUAAUACAGAGGGUGCAAGCGUUAAUCGGAAUUACUGGGCGUAAAGUGCGCGUAGGUGGUUUGUUAAGUUGGAUGUGAAAUCCCCGGGCUCAACCUGGGAACUGCAUCCAAAACUGGCAAGCUAGAGUAUGGUAGAGGGUGGUGGAAUUUCCUGUGUAGCGGUGAAAUGCGUAGAUAUAGGAAGGAACACCAGUGGCGAAGGCGACCACCUGGACUGAUACUGACACUGAGGUGCGAAAGCGUGGGGAGCAAACAGGAUUAGAUACCCCUGUAGUCCCUGUCUCUUAUAC